UACGGGGGGGGCAAGCGUUGUUCGGAAUUACGGGGCGUAAAGGGCGCGUAGGCGGUUUGCUAAGUUGGAUGUGAAAACUGUGGGCUCAACCCCGAGUCUGCAGUCGAUACGGGCAGACUAGAGUGCUAUAGGGGAGACUGGAAUUCCUGGUGUAGCGGUGAAAUGCGCAGAUAUCAGGAGGAACACCGGUGGCGAAGGCGGGUCUCUGGGCAGUAACUGACGCUGAGGAGCGAAAGCGUGGGGAGCGAACAGG
RNAcentral lists this ribosomal RNA (253 nucleotides) under uncultured bacterium. RNAcentral describes it as "partial 16S ribosomal RNA". It matches the Rfam family "Bacterial small subunit ribosomal RNA", at positions 524 to 776 of the family's 1533-position model. The record is from RNAcentral.